CAGCAGCCGCGGUAAUACGUAGGGUCCAAGCGUUAAUCGGAAUUACUGGGCGUAAAGCGUGCGCAGGGCGGUUGUGACAAGACCGAUGUGAAAUCCCCGAGCUUAAACUUGGGAAUUGCAUUGGUGACUGCACGGCUAGAGUGUGUCAGAGGGGGGUAGAAUUCCACGUGUAGCAGUGAAAUGCGUAGAGAUGUGGAGGAAUACCGAUGGCGAAGGCAGCCCCUGGGAUAACACUGACGCUCAUGCACGAAAGCGUGGGGAGCAAACAGGAUUAGAUACCCUGGUAGUCCACGCCCUAAACGAUGUCAACUAGUUGUUGGGGAUUCAUUUCC
RNAcentral lists this ribosomal RNA (332 nucleotides) under uncultured bacterium. RNAcentral's name for it is "bacterial SSU rRNA". It matches the Rfam family "Bacterial small subunit ribosomal RNA", at positions 509 to 839 of the family's 1533-position model. The record is from RNAcentral.